Molecule: non-coding RNA, 1026 nt
Organism: Benincasa hispida (wax gourd)
Lineage: Eukaryota; Viridiplantae; Streptophyta; Magnoliopsida; Cucurbitales; Cucurbitaceae
Source: RefSeq, a predicted model, not a curated record
AAAAAAAGAAAAGAAAAACGGUAGCAGCAGAGAAGAAGAAGGAAAGAAAAAGAAAAGAAAAAGGAUGAAAGAUGAAAUACCAUCCCAAUUACUUCGGCUGACCACAGUUUGCCUUGGAAAUAUCGAUAUUGGGUGAAGGUUAGUUCUCCACCUUUUGUGUGUUGAUUACUCUUUGUUUUUGCAAGUUAGCAAUUUAGAAGAAGUAGCUAUAUCAUCAAAGCUAAUUAAAUGUGAUAAAUGAAAAGUGGUUUCUUUGGCUAAAGGCUACAGCCUACAAUCUUUCUUCUUCCCUCCCUUUUUCACUUAGAUCCUGCCUUUUCAUGGCUAGUCUUUCCAAUCAGCUAUGGUUUAUGAGAAUCUCUUUCAACAUCUUAUCUGGUACUUUUUCUCUCCAUGAGAUCUUGGUAUAUAUACAUUGAUCGAUGGCUUCGACAUUCAUUGGUGUAGCCCCUUGGGUGGGCUAUGAAAUUCUUAUCCAUUCCAACCUCUACUCUUUUUUGCUCACUUGCAGAGCCAAGUUAUCUAUCAUCACUCAAUUUCGUUUUAAAUGCUAAUUUAGCAUUUCUUCUAGAAAUGUGUAUCUGAUUGAAAAUACUUUUCUAAGCAUAUUCUAUCAGAUUUCUAGAGAGGAGAAUUUGUGGGGUGACAUUAAGCUGGUGCACAUUAUAAAAUGUAGAUGAAAUCAACAUGAUAAUAAAGCUUGUUUCUUUUCUCUUUCUUAUCAAAAAAAAUUAUAGUAAUAAUAAUAAUAACAAUGCAACAUUUUUCUUGAAUGUCUAGAAUGUUAUUUGGUGUCUCCAUGUAAAUGUAGAAUAUGGUAAGUCAAAUCAUUGUCAAUAUUUUAUAUAUAGGAUGUCAGUUUUUACUCGACAUACUAGCUUUUGGCCAUUUUUCUACAUGGUCUCUGCUCACAAUCUUUUGAUAUGAGCCAUCCAACUAGAUUAUAAUGUUGUAUCAUUGAUUUUUUUAUAGAUACUUGUAGAAAAAUGAUCUAGUUUGAAGGUUUUUUUUUCAUAAGUUAUUCCA